GGUUAAGCGACUAAGCGUACACGGUGGAUGCCCUGGCAGUCAGAGGCGAUGAAGGACGUGCUAAUCUGCGAAAAGCGUCGGUAAGGUGAUAUGAACCGUUAUAACCGGCGAUGUCCGAAUGGGGAAACCCAGUGCAAUUCGUUGCACUAUCGUUAACUGAAUACAUAGGUUAACGAGGCGAACCGGGGGAACUGAAACAUCUAAGUACCCCGAGGAAAAGAAAUCAACCGAGAUUCCCCCAGUAGCGGCGAGCGAACGGGGAGCAGCCCAGAGUCUGAAUCAGCUUGUGUGUUAGUGGAACGGUCUGGAAAGUCCGACGGUACAGGGUGAUAGUCCCGUACACCAAAAUGCACAGGCUGUGAACUCGAAGAGUAGGGCGGGACACGUGGUAUCCUGUCUGAAUAUGGGGGGACCAUCCUCCAAGGCUAAAUACUCCUGACUGACCGAUAGUGAACCAGUACCGUGAGGGAAAGGCGAAAAGAACCCCGGCGAGGGGAGUGAAAAAGAACCUGAAACCGUGUACGUACAAGCAGUGGGAGCACCUUCGGGUGUGACUGCGUACCUUUUGUAUAAUGGGUCAGCGACUUAUAUUCUGUAGCAAGGUUAACCGUAUAGGGGAGCCGCAGGGAAACCGAGUCUUAACUGGGCGUUAAGUUGCAGGGUAUAGACCCGAAACCCGGUGAUCUAGCCAUGGGCAGGUUGAAGGUUGGGUAACACUAACUGGAGGACCGAACCGACUAAUGUUGAAAAAUUAGCGGAUGACUUGUGGCUGGGGGUGAAAGGCCAAUCAAACCGGGAGAUAGCUGGUUCUCCCCGAAAGCUAUUUAGGUAGCGCCUCGUGAACUCAUCUUCGGGGGUAGAGCACUGUUUCGGCUAGGGGUCAUCCCGACUUACCAACCCGAUGCAAACUACGAAUACCGAAGAAUGUUAUCACGGGAGACACACGGCGGGUGCUAACGUCCGUCGUGAAGAGGGAAACAACCCAGACCGCCAGCUAAGGUCCCAAAGUCAUGGUUAAGUGGGAAACGAUGUGGGAAGGCACAGACAGCCAGGAUGUUGGCUUAGAAGCAGCCAUCAUUUAAAGAAAGCGUAAUAGCUCACUGGUCGAGUCGGCCUGCGCGGAAGAUGUAACGGGGCUAAACCAUGCACCGAAGCUGCGGCAGCGACACUAUGUGUUGUUGGGUAGGGGAGCGUUCUGUAAGCCUGCGAAGGUGUGCUGUGAGGCAUGCUGGAGGUAUCAGAAGUGCGAAUGCUGACAUAAGUAACGAUAAAGCGGGUGAAAAGCCCGCUCGCCGGAAGACCAAGGGUUCCUGUCCAACGUUAAUCGGGGCAGGGUGAGUCGACCCCUAAGGCGAGGCCGAAAGGCGUAGUCGAUGGGAAACAGGUUAAUAUUCCUGUACUUGGUGUUACUGCGAAGGGGGGACGGAGAAGGCUAUGUUAGCCGGGCGACGGUUGUCCCGGUUUAAGCAUGUAGGCUGAUUGUCCAGGCAAAUCCGGAUAAUCAAGGCUGAGGUGUGAUGACGAGGCACUACGGUGCUGAAGUAACAAAUGCCCUGCUUCCAGGAAAAGCCUCUAAGCAUCAGGUAACAUCAAAUCGUACCCCAAACCGACACAGGUGGUCAGGUAGAGAAUACCAAGGCGCUUGAGAGAACUCGGGUGAAGGAACUAGGCAAAAUGGUGCCGUAACUUCGGGAGAAGGCACGCUGGUGUGUAGGUGAAGUCCCUGCGGAUGGAGCUGAGACCAGUCGAAGAUACCAGCUGGCUGCAACUGUUUAUUAAAAACACAGCACUGUGCAAACACGAAAGUGGACGUAUACGGUGUGACGCCUGCCCGGUGCCGGAAGGUUAAUUGAUGGGGUUAUCCGUAAGGAGAAGCUCUUGAUCGAAGCCCCGGUAAACGGCGGCCGUAACUAUAACGGUCCUAAGGUAGCGAAAUUCCUUGUCGGGUAAGUUCCGACCUGCACGAAUGGCGUAAUGAUGGCCAGGCUGUCUCCACCCGAGACUCAGUGAAAUUGAACUCGCUGUGAAGAUGCAGUGUACCCGCGGCAAGACGGAAAGACCCCGUGAACCUUUACUAUAGCUUGACACUGAACAUUGAGCCUUGAUGUGUAGGAUAGGUGGGAGGCUUUGAAGCGUGGACGCCAGUCUGCGUGGAGCCAACCUUGAAAUACCACCCUUUAAUGUUUGAUGUUCUAACGUUGGCCCCUGACCGGGGUUGCGGACAGUGUCUGGUGGGUAGUUUGACUGGGGCGGUCUCCUCCCAAAGCGUAACGGAGGAGCACGAAGGUUAGCUAAUCCUGGUCGGACAUCAGGAGGUUAGUGCAAUGGCAUAAGCUAGCUUGACUGCGAGCGUGACGGCGCGAGCAGGUGCGAAAGCAGGUCAUAGUGAUCCGGUGGUUCUGAAUGGAAGGGCCAUCGCUCAACGGAUAAAAGGUACUCCGGGGAUAACAGGCUGAUACCGCCCAAGAGUUCAUAUCGACGGCGGUGUUUGGCACCUCGAUGUCGGCUCAUCACAUCCUGGGGCUGAAGUAGGUCCCAAGGGUAUGGCUGUUCGCCAUUUAAAGUGGUACGCGAGCUGGGUUUAGAACGUCGUGAGACAGUUCGGUCCCUAUCUGCCGUGGGCGCUGGAGAAUUGAGGGGGGCUGCUCCUAGUACGAGAGGACCGGAGUGGACGCAUCACUGGUGUUCGGGUUGUCAUGCCAAUGGCACUGCCCGGUAGCUAAAUGCGGAAGAGAUAAGUGCUGAAAGCAUCUAAGCACGAAACUUGCCCCGAGAUGAGUUCUCCCUGAGACUUUAAGUCUCCUGAAGGAACGUUAAAGACGAUGACGUUGAUAGGCCGGGUGUGUAAGCGCAGCGAUGCGUUGAGCUAACCGGUACUAAUGAACCGUGAGGCUUAACCUU
This 2901-nucleotide ribosomal RNA is filed under the name Klebsiella pneumoniae. RNAcentral's name for it is "23S ribosomal RNA". It matches the Rfam family "Bacterial large subunit ribosomal RNA". The record is from RNAcentral. Lineage: Bacteria; Pseudomonadati; Pseudomonadota; Gammaproteobacteria; Enterobacterales; Enterobacteriaceae.